AGCACUAGGGGAGCUAUGUAUUUGGCUGAGAAGAACGCUAACGUUCUGACCCUUUGCACCCGAACUGGAUAAUACCAGCGUGGGGAAGCGCG
Molecule: non-coding RNA, 92 nt
Filed under: pig gut metagenome
Description: TPP riboswitch (THI element)
Rfam family: TPP riboswitch aptamer (THI element)
About the family: Vitamin B(1) in its active form thiamin pyrophosphate (TPP) is an essential coenzyme that is synthesised by coupling of pyrimidine and thiazole moieties in bacteria. The previously detected thiamin-regulatory element, thi box was extended, resulting in a new, highly conserved RNA secondary structure, the THI element, which is widely distributed in eubacteria and also occurs in some archaea.
Source: RNAcentral